CCAGACUCCUACGGGAGGCAGCAGUGAGGAAUAUUGGUCAAUGGGCUUACGCCUGAACCAGCCAAGUCGCGUGAGGGAAGACUGCCCUAUGGGUUGUAAACCUCUUUUGUCAGGGAGCAAUUGGCGCUACGUGUAGCGUUAUCGAGAGUACCUGAAGAAAAAGCAUCGGCUAACUCCGUGCCAGCAGCCGCGGUAAUACGGAGGAUGCGAGCGUUAUCCGGAAUUAUUGGGUGUAAAGGGUGCGUAGACGGGAAAACAAGUUAGUUGUGAAAUCCCUCGGCUUAACUGAGGAACUGCAACUAAAACUAUUUUUCUUGAGUGCAGGAGAGGUAAGUGGAAUUCCUAGUGUAGCGGUGAAAUGCGUAGAUAUUAGGAGGAACACCAGUGGCGAAGGCGACUUACUGGACUGUAACUGACGUUGAGGCACGAAAGUGUGGGGAGCAAACAGGAUUAGAUACCCGGGUAA
RNAcentral lists this ribosomal RNA (466 nucleotides) under uncultured bacterium. RNAcentral describes it as "bacterial SSU rRNA". It matches the Rfam family "Bacterial small subunit ribosomal RNA", at positions 331 to 793 of the family's 1533-position model. The record is from RNAcentral.